UUCGAGUGGCGGACGGGUGAGUAACGCGUGGGUAACCUGCCUUACACAGGGGGAUAACACCUGGAAACAGGUGCUAAUACCGCAUAACGGGAGAAGCCGCAUGGCUUUUUCCUGAAAACUCCGGUGGUACAGGAUGGGCCCGCGUCUGAUUAGCCAGUUGGCAGGGUAACGGCCUACCAAAGCGACGAUCAGUAGCCGGCCUGAGAGGGCGGACGGCCACACUGGGACUGAGACACGGCCCAGACUCCUACGGGAGGCAGCAG
This 263-nucleotide ribosomal RNA is filed under the name uncultured bacterium. Its description in RNAcentral is "partial 16S ribosomal RNA". It matches the Rfam family "Bacterial small subunit ribosomal RNA", at positions 90 to 354 of the family's 1533-position model. The record is from RNAcentral.